GAUGAACGCUGGCGGCGUGCCUAAUACAUGCAAGUCGAGCGGCAGCACGGUCUUCGGACUGGUGGCGAGCGGCGGACGGCUGAGUAACGCGUAGGAACGUACCCCAAAGUGAGGGAUAAGCACCGGAAACGGUGUCUAAUACCGCAUGUGAUCUUCGGAUUAAAGCCUUCGGGCGCUUUGGGAGCGGCCUGCGUAAGAUUAGCUAGUUGGUGAGGUAAUGGCUCACCAAGGCGACGAUCUUUAGCUGGUCUGAGAGGAUGAUCAGCCAGACUGGGACUGAGACACGGCCCAGACUCCUACGGGAGGCAGCAGUAGGGAAUUUUCCACAAUGGGCGAAAGCCUGAUGGAGCAACGCCGCGUGCAGGAUGAAGGCCUUCGGGUCGUAAACUGCUUUUAUGAGUGAUGAUUAUGACAGUAGCUCAAGAAUAAGGGUCGGCUAACUACGUGCCAGCCGCCGCCGUAA
RNAcentral lists this ribosomal RNA (463 nucleotides) under uncultured bacterium. Its description in RNAcentral is "partial 16S ribosomal RNA". It matches the Rfam family "Bacterial small subunit ribosomal RNA", at positions 28 to 523 of the family's 1533-position model. The record is from RNAcentral.